RNAcentral lists this ribosomal RNA (428 nucleotides) under uncultured bacterium. RNAcentral describes it as "bacterial SSU rRNA". It matches the Rfam family "Bacterial small subunit ribosomal RNA", at positions 355 to 776 of the family's 1533-position model. The record is from RNAcentral.
UGGGGAAUCUUGCGCAAUGGGCGAAAGCCUGACGCAGCGACGCCGCGUGGGUGAUGAAGGCCUUCGGGUUGUAAAGCCCUGUGGAGAGGGACGAAUAAGUCGGCGUUAACACCGCCGGCGAUGACGGUACCUUUUUAGCAAGCACCGGCUAACUCUGUGCCAGCAGCCGCGGUAAGACAGAGGGUGCAAACGUUGUUCGGAAUUACUGGGCGUAAAGCGUGUGUAGGCGGCUGUGAAAGUCGGAUGUGAAAGCCCCGGGCUCAACCCGGGAAGAGCACCCGAUACUGCACGGCUUGAGUACCGGAGAGGUUGGUGGAAUUCUCGGUGUAGAGGUGAAAUUCGUAGAUAUCGAGAGGAACACCGGCGGCGAAGGCGGCCAACUGGACGAGUACUGACGCUGAGACACGAAAGCGUGGGGAGCAAACAGG